Molecule: long non-coding RNA, 470 nt
Organism: Sapajus apella (tufted capuchin)
Lineage: Eukaryota; Metazoa; Chordata; Mammalia; Primates; Cebidae
Exons: 3
Source: RefSeq, a predicted model, not a curated record
GGGGAAAGCAUAAUCUCAUUUUUAAAUGAAAAAUUACACACACACACACACAAGCCUGGGAAGCUAAAAAUAUACAAUUAAAUGUUAACAGUGUUACUGCUGGAUGGUGAAGCGUGGGCUGAUGGGCUAGCGAUAUGUGGCACGGUACCCUCUCUUGACGCUGGGCAGUGGUGGCAAGCACAGCUCCCAGUCAGCCAUGCAAUCAUCAGGAUACGUGUGGCUCAGGACACCAUGCUGUCAGUUUCCUAUCCUAAGCACAAUGUAACAACUCAUAUUGGCCACGUAGUGUUACGGUAACAUGGAGGAAUAAAAAAGUUGUAUAAACAGCAUCAAGAUUGCCUUAAGACUAUCACGCUAAUAGAAGCAAUAAAGAUCACCAGCUAUUUUAGGGUUUAUUCUGCAAGGGAGGAUUUGCACCUAAGGGGACAUUAUCUGUUCCAACUAAUAUCAAUUAACAACAGUAGUGAAAC